CGGGACGUGGCGCAGUUUGGUAGCGCACUUGACUGGGGGUCAAGGGGUCGUCGGUUCAAAUCCGGCCGUCCCGACAA
RNAcentral lists this transfer RNA (77 nucleotides) under Micromonospora eburnea. RNAcentral's name for it is "tRNA_Pro_GGG". It matches the Rfam family "tRNA". Rfam says of the family: Transfer RNA (tRNA) molecules are approximately 80 nucleotides in length. Their secondary structure includes four short double-helical elements and three loops (D, anti-codon, and T loops). Lineage: Bacteria; Bacillati; Actinomycetota; Actinomycetes; Micromonosporales; Micromonosporaceae. The record is from RNAcentral.